RNAcentral lists this ribosomal RNA (607 nucleotides) under Pestalotiopsis sp. Its description in RNAcentral is "eukaryotic LSU rRNA". The stretch from base 237 to 390 matches the Rfam family "5.8S ribosomal RNA". Lineage: Eukaryota; Fungi; Ascomycota; Sordariomycetes; Amphisphaeriales; Sporocadaceae. The record is from RNAcentral.
GUAACAAGGUCUCCGUUGGUGAACCAGCGGAGGGAUCAUUAUAGAGUUUUCUAAACUCCCAACCCAUGUGAACUUACCAUUGUUGCCUCGGCAGAAGCUGCUCGGUGCACCCUACCUUGGAACGGCCUACCCUGUAGCGCCUUACCCUGGAACGGCUUACCCUGCAACGGCUGCCGGUGGACUACCAAACUCUUGUUAUUUUAUGGUUAUCUGAGCGUCUUAUUUCAAUAAGUCAAAACUUUCAACAACGGAUCUCUUGGUUCUGGCAUCGAUGAAGAACGCAGCGAAAUGCGAUAAGUAAUGUGAAUUGCAGAAUUCAGUGAAUCAUCGAAUCUUUGAACGCACAUUGCGCCCAUUAGUAUUCUAGUGGGCAUGCCUGUUCGAGCGUCAUUUCAACCCUUAAGCCUAGCUUAGCGUUGGGAGCCUACUGCUUUUGCUAGCUGUAGCUCCUGAAAUACAACGGCGGAUCUGCGAUAUCCUCUGAGCGUAGUAAUUUUUUAUCUCGCUUUUGACUGGAGUUGCAGCGUCUUUAGCCGCUAAACCCCCCAAUUUUUUAAUGGUUGACCUCGGAUCAGGUAGGAAUACCCGCUGAACUUAAGCAUAUCAA